Molecule: long non-coding RNA, 470 nt
Organism: Frankliniella occidentalis (western flower thrips)
Lineage: Eukaryota; Metazoa; Arthropoda; Insecta; Thysanoptera; Thripidae
Exons: 3
Source: RefSeq, a predicted model, not a curated record
UCCCGAGUGUUUCUACACAGCAUACUGUGAAAAUAUACUCCGAAAGUUCAACAUGAAAUAUUUUUAUUUUUCGCCCCGGGGUGUUGGUGGAAAGGGGGCCUGAGUGGCCAGAGUAGCCCGCCGCCAUCUUAGGCCAUAGUGUUGUUGUCGUCUACCGAGGGAGAAUAUAUGCCGCUAGUGAAGUGUUUUUAAGAAGAAUUGUUGUGAAGUUUUGCUGGAGAGUAACUAUUUUCUUCUUCAAUCAGUGGAGGGUGUCGAUAGCUGUCAGCUCCAGUGCCAACCCGUCCCAAGUUCUUUCCGAGCUGAGCGACCACUUUAACCGUGUUCUUGUUGAUGAGACUUCUUUAAGCCAAUUUGGCUGAAGGAAAGCCGUCCCAAUACCAGAGAAGAUCAAGUGCAUUUACGUUACCAUCAAUAUCAAAUACCAUACUGUUAUUUUUCAUUUUGGAAAAUAUAUUACUGGAAUCUAA